RNAcentral lists this ribosomal RNA (497 nucleotides) under uncultured bacterium. RNAcentral describes it as "partial 16S ribosomal RNA". It matches the Rfam family "Bacterial small subunit ribosomal RNA", at positions 28 to 507 of the family's 1533-position model. The record is from RNAcentral.
GAUGAACGCUGGCGGCGUUCCUAAUACAUGCAAGUCGAGCGAACGGACGAGAAGCUUGCUUCUCUGAUGUUAGCGGCGGACGGGUGAGUAACACGUGGAUAACCUACCUAUAAGACUGGGAUAACUUCGGGAAACCGGAGCUAAUACCGGAUGAUAUUUUGAACCGCAUGGUUCAAAAGUGAAAGACGGUCUUGCUGUCACUUAUAGAUGGAUCCGCGCUGCAUUAGCUAGUUGGUAAGGUAACGGCUUACCAAGGCAACGAUGCAUAGCCGACCUGAGAGGGUGAUCGGCCACACUGGAACUGAGACACGGUCCAGACUCCUACGGGAGGCAGCAGUAGGGAAUCUUCCGCAAUGGGCGAAAGCCUGACGGAGCAACGCCGCGUGAGUGAUGAAGGUCUUCGGAUCGUAAAACUCUGUUAUUAGGGAAGAACAUAUGUGUAAGUAACUGUGCACAUCUUGACGGUACCUAAUCAGAAAGCCACGGCUAACUACGUG